CUGAUGGAUUACCUGUGGGAGGAAGAGGGGCAGAAAAAACAGGUAGCACCAAAUAUUGUGAAUGAGUAUGAAGUGUGAUAGCAACACCUGGAUACAAAGGGGCAGGACUGGUGCUGAAAGAGGCAGCCUCUUUCCUCAAUCUCCAUGCACUGCUGCCUCUGGAAACAGCACUGGGCUAGAGAGGCUGUGAAUUGCUGAGUUAAGGCAAUGACUGCAACAAAACAUUGGGAACUAGGUAGAGUGUUAAGGUGUGCUGCACCUCCAGAGGCUACAAGAAAGAAUCAAAUGUCUGCUUGACCUAUGCCCUCGAUUACUGUGUACAUUCUUAUGGCAUCUUGUACUUUCUCUUCAUUUAAUUUCUAUCCAUAAUAGAUGUUCUCCUAUUAACAGAGCUUCCUCAAGCGUCACUCCAUCCUCGGAGCUGCUCCUCCAUCUGUCCACAUAGUUAAUAGUCAAACAUGACUAUUAGGGUUACAUGACCUCACUUCCGACCAUAAGGCAUGGACCCAAAGAUGGACCCCUACUCAUGAGGGUCCGUUCAUAGACAAUACACAAUCACACCACACUCAUGUAGAAAAUGUUUUCAAGCAUUAGGUGUUCCAAAAGGCAGUCACUAAAAUAUCCAAUGAGCUCAUUCAAGGCGGGCUAGCUGUGCUUGAGAAUAUUUGAAGCCUCUUUGGUGUAUCUACCUGCCUGCUCUAUUUGGUGGCAGUGAGACAAAGCAAUGAGCUAAAUUAGCAACUGUGUACUCUCAGACGCUGAGCCCUCAAAGAUGGGAACAUUAUGGGCCUUUGCAGGAAAGCAUCAAAACAUGUAACUGUAUUGGCUACAUCAUCUUGUGUCACUAUGGCCCCUGAAGAGAGACACCCUGCAGACCAAGCUUACCCCCUGACUUCAGCUAGGGCACAAGACAAGCUGGCUAUGUAGCUGGGGUCACCCUUCUUCUGCCAGCCGCCAGAAGUCUGUAGUAGCUGGACAUUGCAGAUAUCAAUUUUUCUGGCAAUUCUAAGGAAGUAUACUGGUUUAAAAAAAAAAUGAGAUUCUGGAAAUCCGAAUAGGAAUACUGGGGAGAAUUCAGAGGAAAUGAGAUGACUCAUCCUACCUCCAAAGCACUAACUACUUUGUUCCAGCACUUCUUCUAUCUCAUCACAACCCUCUCCAUUAAAAUGAGAGAAAAUAAAACAAAACAGAACACAAGUGGUUAUGCACUUAUGUAGAAAACAGUCACUUGAAAGCAGCAAAGGGAGUGAGUGUUCCAUCCAGGCCCAAUUCUAACACCAACACCUGAGCCUACUGUUUCCCCCAGAAAGAGGAUUUUAAAGGCUGGGAUCAAGGAGAUGAUGUUUACAGCAUGAAGGUCAAACCCAUAUUCAGAGUCUGUAACUAGAGUUCUGGAGCUGGUUAUUAGUAAAAGGAGCCUCCCCAGUUGAAUUUACAGACAACCAGAGGAAAGAAGAGCUUAAGGGUAGAAAAGAGGACUAUGGUUACUCAGUCCCUAAAGCAAUUUCUAGACAUAACAGAGAGUGAGCUGCAGAGCAGAGUGGGCCUCUUAAAAGGGUAUUUUUUUUUUAUUCUUUAGGGCUGCAUCAGAAUGGCCUGGAAAUGAGAAAUUCUGUUGGGCAGAUGCUUGUGGAAGCCAGAUUGCUUCUACUCUCAGCAGAGUGAGCCAAGAAAGCAGGGUGGUGGGAGCUUGCAUGAAAUCAGGUUAUUUAGUGAACACUUUGGCUACACGUGUGCUAGGUGCUUUCGUAAGCACCUUCCAGGCAUUAACUCGUCAGCUCUUAAGAGCCCUGUAAAGUGGGUACUUCUAUGUUGCAGAUCAGGAAACAGGAACAGGGCAGUCAGGUAAUCUGGCCAAAGCCACAUGGAAAAUGACAGAUCCUGGCAGCCUGGCCCAAGAGUCCAUGGGAUGUGUUUCCAUUUGUUCGCAUCAUCUAUAAUUUCUUUCAAAGUGGGCUAAGGACAUGAGUAGACAAUUCUCAAAAGAAGAUAUGCUUUUAGCUGUGAGUCUACUGUGCUUAACCCAACUAUUGUGGUCUAGGAUCUGAUACAGGCUAAGGAUCAGAGUCCCCUGUACCAUGUUCCUCUUCCCUUCUUUUUCUGAAUGGGACCACAGUCAUCUAUGUUUGUCCAGGAGUGUGUGCCAGCUCCUCCGUCAUCCUCCACCAGUGUGUGCUGUGCUGGUUACAUUCCCUUCAGUCUCAUUAGUGUGGACAUGGAACAUUCAUAUUUAUGUUCCUUGGCACACACUCAGCAUACAGUAGUGAUCUCUGAAAACAAUGUCACCAGAUCAGGAAACAACAUUUAACUGAUGGAAGAAUAUCGCUACCAUGUCAACUGAUUAUUUUCCCCAAGUUUUCUUAAGACACCAUGUUUCCUAAAUGACACAACUUCAUAUUCAUUUAUUUAGAAAACAAACUGAGGAACGUUCACUUCUGGAGAGCUAUAGCAUGUUAUUGUUCCUGUUGUAAAAAUUUCAAAAAAGAGUCAUUUUUCUAAAACAUCAGGAAAUUCUGACAAAUGGAGAGAAUUCCAGAUGGAGUGAAGCUUUUUGAGGUGAACAGAUAAUUACCAGCUGCUUUUUUCCUCCCGGGGACAUUUGCCAAUUCUGAGCAUUUCCCCAGAUCCAGAGAGUUUUUUCUGGAAGGAAGAUAAACCACAUGAUAUUUUGGAGUUUCAUGGGACUAAAGAAACAAAUUGGAAACUUAUAGGUCCUCAAAUGCACAGCCAUCGUCCACAGGGGACACUCAUUUAGCUGUUCACCUGCAUGGGUGAUGGGCGCCCUAGGCCAAAGUUUAUAGAAAGCAGAAUGAAACCUCCUACAGUGACAGAGGUGCUUCAGAAGUAAAACCCUGGCAGGGGUGAUGAUGGCCUCUAGCAUGUGACCAGUCUCAUCUUAAAACAUUUUCUGGAUUUUGAAAGUGUGUGGGGCACAAGGCUGCAGAGUCAGGCUGGGAGCUCUGAAACACAGGGCUAGAUUUGCUGUCAUCUUUCAGGGCUGAGGAACAAAGACCUCGCAAUGAAAGGCAAAGGCGGAUCAAGCCUGAGGAUUAGGAGAGAACCAGGGGUAGACUGGUUCUCCAGCACAGCCCAGCGAGGAACUACAGUAAGAGUGAAAGCUGAUGUCUUCAUGGAAACACUGGAAGCCAGAAGCCAACAUGUUCCUGGUUAAAUUACUGAGAGAAAAAAAAAAAAAGUCAACAUAAAAUUCUACACUGAAUAAAAAAUACCCCUCGAAAAUGAAAGUGAUAAGAUUGUUUGGCUUUUUUCUUGCUAAUUUGUUUGAGCUCCUUGUAGAUUCUGAAUAUUUGUCCUUUGUCAGAUGUAUAGAUUGUGAAGAUUUUCUCCCACACUGUGGGUUGUCUGUUUAUGCUGCUGACUAUUCCUUUUGCCAUACAAAAGUUCUUCAGUUUAAUUAAGUCCCACCUGUUUGUGUUUGUUUUUGUUGUAUUUGUUCUUGGGUUCUUGGUCAUAAAGUCUUUGCCUAAGCUAAUGUCUAGAACAGUUUUUCUGAUGUGAUCUUUUAGAAUUUUUAUAAUUUCAGGUCUUAGAUUUAAGUCCUUGAUCUAUCUGGAGUUGAUUUUUGAAUAAGGUGAGAGGUGAGGAUCCAGUUUCAUUCUCCUAUAUGUGGCUUGCCAGUUAUCCAAGCACCAUUUGUUGAAUAGGGUGUCUUUCCCCACUUUAUGUUUUUGUUUGCUUUGUUGAAAAUCAGUUGGCUGUAAGUAUUUGGGUGUAUUUCUGGGUUCUUUAUUCUGUUCCAUUAGUCUAUCUGCCUGUUUUAUACUAGCACCAUGUUGUUUGACUAUGGCCUUAUAGUAUAGUUUGAAAUCAGAUAAUGUGAUGUCUCCAGAUUUUUUCUUGCUGCUUAGUCUUGCUUUGGCUAUGUGGGCUUUUUGGUUCCAUAUGAGUUUUAGGAUUGCUUUUUCUAGUUCUGUGAAGAAUGAUAGUGGUAUUUUGAUGGGAAUUACAUUGAAUUUGUAGAUUGCUUUUGGCAGUAUGGUCAUUUUCACAAUGUUGAUUCUACCCAUCAAAGAGCAUGGGAUGUGUUUCCAUUUGUUCGCAUCAUCUAUAAUUUCUUUCGAAGUGGGCUAAGGACUUGAGUAGACACUUCUCGAAAGAAGAUACACAAAUGCCCAACAAACAUAUGAAAAAAUGCUCAACAUCACUACUGGUGAGGGAAAUGCUAAUCAAAACCAGAAUGUGAUACCACCUUUCUCCCACAAGAAUAGCCAUUAUCAAAAAAUCAGAAAAUAAUAAAUGUUGGCAUAGAUGCAGUGAAAAGGGAGCACUUCUACACUGCUGGUGGGAAUGUAAACUAGUAAAACCACUAUGGAAAACAGCAUGGAGAUUCCAUAAGGAACUAAAAGUAGAAUUACCAUUUGACUCAGCAAUCCCACUACUGAGUAUCUACCCAGAGGAAAGUAAGUCAUUAUACAAAAAAAAUACGUGCACAUGCAUGUUUAUAGCAGCACAAUUCGCAAUUGCAAAAAUGUGGAACCAGCCCAAAUGCCCAUCAAUCAAUGAGUGGAUAAAGAAGCUGUGGUAUAUGAUGAUGUAUGUGAUAUAUAUAUACCCCAUAUAUGAUCAUAUGUAUGAUCAUAUAUAUGAUAUGUAUGAUGUAUAGAUAUAUGAUGUGUGUGUGUGUGUACAUAUAUAUAUAUAUGAUGGAAUACUACUCUGGCAUAAAAAGUAAUUAAUGGCAUUUGCAGCAACCUGGAUGGGAUUGGAGACUAUUGUUCCAAGUGAACUAACUCAGGAAUGGGAAACCAGACAUUGUAUGUUCUCACUUAUAAGUGGGAGCUAAGCUAUGAGGAUGCAAAGGCAUAAGAAUGACAGAAUGGACUUUGGGACUGGAAGGAAAGGGUGGGAGGGCAUGAUGGAUAAAAGACUACAAAUUGGGUUCAGUGUACACUGCUUGGGUGAUGGGUGCAUCAAAAUCUCACAAAUCACCACUAAAGAACUUACUCAUGUAACCAAAUACCACCUGCUCACCAAAAACCUAUGGAAAUAAAAGAAAUUUAAAAAGAAAGUGAAAUAAAGACGUUCUUGGACAAACAAAAAUGAGGGAAUUUGUCAUCAAACCUCUUACAUUAAUAGAAAGAAUAAGAUUUUUUUUUUUUUUUUUUUUUGUAGAAGACGAUGAUUCCAGAUGGAAAAAAUGGAAAUGUAAGAGGGAAUUAACAACACUGGAAUUAGUAAACCCAUGGGUAAUGUAAAAUGGAAUUUUAAAAAUAUCCAAAUAAUCUGAAAGAAGUCAUCAUAAGGAAACAGAAGAAUGAAAACAGCAGGGACAAUCAGAAAAACACGUAAUAAAACUAAUAUACCUUGUAAUGGUGAAUAUUGAGUGUCAACUUGGUUGGAUUGAAGGAUGCAAAGUAUUGUUCCUGGGUGUGUCUGUGAGGGUGUUGCCAAAAGAGAUUAACAUUUGAGUCAGUGGACUGGGAGAGGCAGACCCACCCUUGAUCUGGGUGGGCACCAUCUAAUCAGCUGCCAGCACUGCUAGAAUAAAGCAGAGGGAAGAACAUGGAAGGACUUGACUUGCUGAAUCUUUUGGCCUUCAUCUUUCUUCUAUGCUGGAUGUGUCCUUCUUUUUUUUUUUCAUUUUUUUUAGACAGAAUUUUGCUCUUGUUGCCCAGGCUGAAGUACAAUUACACUGUCUCUGCUCACUGCAACCUUCGCCUCCCUGGUUCAAGCAAUUCUCCUGCCUCAGCCUCCCGAGUAGCUGGGGUUACAGGCAUGCACCACCACGCCCAGCUAACUUUUGUAUUUUUAGUAGAGACAGGUUUUCUCCAGGUUGGCCAGGGUGGUCUCGAACUCCUGACCUCAGGUGAUCCACCCAAGUCGGCCUCCCAAAGUGCUGGGAUUACAGGCAUGAGCCACUGCGCCUGGCCCUGCUUCCUUCUCUUGAACAUUGGAUUCCAACUUCUUCAGCUUUUGGACUCUUGGACUUACAUCAGUGGUUUGCCAGGGGCUCUUGGGCCUUUGGUCACGGAUUAAAGACUGCACUGUUGGCUUCCCUGCUUUUGAGGUUUUGGGACUCGGACUGGCUUCUUUGCUCCUCAGCUUGCAGAUGGACUAUUGUGGGACUUCACUUUGUGAUGGUGUUGAGUCAAUUCUCCCUAACAAACUCCCCUUUAUAUAUUCAUCUAUCGUGUUAGUUCUGUCGCUCUAGAGAAUCUAUCUAAUACAUACCUAAAUCUAACCAUAUCAAUAAUUACAUUAAUAGAAAUGGUCUCAUGAAAGGUUGUCAGAUUGGAUAAAAAUAAAUAAGACUCAUCUGUUAUGUUGCCUACAGAAAUCUCAUGUCAAAUAUAGAAAGAUGAAUACAUUAAAGUGAAGGGGUGAAUUUUUUGUGGGGAGGAGGCAAAAAGUUCUAAAAUUACAUUGUAGAGAUAGUUGCACAACAUUAAGAAGUUACGAAGAAACACUGAAUUUUCAUAACUUAAAGGCACGGGUUGUGUGGUAUGUGAAUUAUAUCUUGAUAAAGCUAUUUUUAAAAAGUAAAGGAUGAAAAAAUAUACCUUGCAGACAAUGAACAAAAUAAUGGAGUGGCUAUAUUAAUUUCAGACAAAGUAGACUUAAGACAAAGAAAUACAAAUAAAAAAUGAAAUUGUAUAAUGAUGAAUAGAUCUUCACCAAAAAAGAUGCAAUAAUUUUAAAAGUCUUUGUAUCUCAAAUAUAGCUUCCAAAUGCAUGAGGCAAAAACUGAUGAAACCGAAAGGUGUGGACAAAGCCACAGUAUAGUUGGAGACUUCUGUGCUCUUCUCUCAGGAAUAGAUGAAAAAUGAACACAGAAAGCCAGCAGAGACAUGGAUGUGGACACAAGUAACCAACCAGACCUAAUCCACACUUCCAGAAGACUCCACCCAAUGGAAGCAGAAUACAUAUUUUUGUUGAAGUGCCCAAGGAAAUUUCAGCCAGACAGGUCAUAUCCUGGGCCAUAAAAACAUUUUAGUACAUUUAAGAGAACUGAAAUCAUACAAGGCAUACCCUCAGAUCAUAGGGGAAUUAAACUAGAAUUCAGCAGCAGAAAGGUACCUGGAAAACCCCAAAUACUUGGAAAGCAUCAGUAUUAGCCAAAGAGAAAGUCCCAUGGGAAAUUAGAAAAUAUUUUGAACUGAAUGAAAAUGGAAACAAAACAAAUUAAGAUUUGUGGGAUGCAGCUAUUACAGUGUUGAGAUGGAAAUUUACAACUCUAUUAAAUGCUUUUAUUAGGAAGAAAAGAAACACUUCAAGUCAGUGAUCUAUGCUACCUAUUUAAGAAAGCAGAAAUAGAGAAAAUUAAGCCCAAAGCAAGCAAAAGAAAAGAAAAUAAAAAACAACAGGAAUCAAUAAAACAGUAAAACAAUAGAGAAAAUCAAUGAAAUCAAAAGCUACUUUAAAAAAAUCAAUAGAAUUGAUAGACUUCUAGCUAAACCGACCAAGAAAACACAAUAAGCAAAAUGUUUGCCAUGCAUGAAACUGGCAAGGAAUAUUAUCCAGAAUAUGUGGAAAAUUCCUAACAUCAUCAAGAAAAUCAUGCAAACAAGUUGGGAAAUAAGAAAAGGAUGUAUUUGGAUUAACAAGUCUGAGAAUAUGUGAAAAUACUGCUUGGCAACCAGGAAAUAAAAUAAAACCACAAUAAGAUCCAUUUUACAUUUAUCAUAUUGGCAAAAAUUAAAUGAAUAAUUAAACCAAGUGUUUACCAGGAGAGAUGGAAAACUUUACUCCCUUUUAGAAGUACAUACAUUGGUUUAACCUUUUAGGGGAGUAAUUUGGUAAUAACCACUACAGUUGAAAAUGUCCAUGAGCAGAAACUUAGCACUUCCAUUUCUAGGGGAAUCUUGGGCAAUUUUUUUGUUUCCCCCAGUUGUAAGUUAGAGGCAUUUUCAGUGAUGUUAAUUGUAGCAUGGCUUGUAACAUUGAUAACUUGGAAAUGAUUUUGAUGUAAGUUUUCCACUCACUUUGGUCAAACUGUAAACAUGUUCUUAAGAAAUGCCAUGACCACAUUUAUAUGGAACUUGUUUCUCAGAAAAGUUUCCAAUGAAGGAGGCAUGUUUGCACCUAAAAAGCAAUAUGAUUGUGUGUGUUUGUGUGUGUGUGUGUGUGUGUGUUGAAAAGCUUAUAGAGGCACUGGCCAGAAUGUAUGCUCACUUCCUUGGGUGCUGUAACUUCUAGCCCUCUAGUGAAGUUGUAAACUACAAUAUGACCUGCAUAUUGGCACUGAGCACAGAGCAUCAUCGAUCUCCCUGCACCUUUCAUGGAGAUCACUGAAUUAGGUUUUCUGUGGACCACAACACAACAGACCAGAGGAAAACACCAUCUGCCUUGUGCUCAUCUGUCCCCCUGAGGCACCACAGCACCCUAGGGCCAGCAGCAGCAGGUCGUGUGACACCUGCCCUUCAGUCCCUAAUGCUUUCCUCUCCUCCUGAGCUUGCUCCCUGCCAUGCUUGUUGAAGGAAUAUGAGUAUAAUUUUGCACUAAGUAUGUGUCGGUCAUCAAUAGUUUCUUAUUGUAUCGAUACCUCAGCCCUAAAGUUGUUUUUUAAUUUAAUUUUUUUUUGAGACACGGUCUCUGUUGCUUAGGCUGGAAUGCAAUGGUGUGAAGACAGCUCACUGCAGCCUCAGUCUCCUGAGCUCAAGUGAUCCUCUUGCCUCAGCCUCCCAAGUAGCGGGGACUACAGUUGUUAACCCUAAAGUCUGUACAUUUCACCUGGAGCUAAUUCUUAGAAUAAAAUAACAAGUGGGAGAUGCAUGUAUCAAAAUGGAAAAAAAAGUCCCACCACAGCAAAAACAAGAAGCUGUUUGCAGAAUAAUCUGUAGAAAGUGAGAUUUUUUUUUACACUUUGAAAGCAUGAAUAGCAUUGGUUAUUACUUGUGAAUAUUAUAUGAUUUAUGAGUACACCUAUGCUCAGUAAAGGUGCAAACAUGGAUGAAGGGCUACGUGCAAACUUCAUUGUGAUGAUUCACUUCUGGUGUGGUAGGCAGGGAUGAGAUUGAGAGCUAGGAUACAUGUUUUUCCAAAAAUGUAGCUCUAAAGUAAAUAAUGCAAAAUGUUAAGACUUAUUAAAGGUGAUGUUUCAUUAAUCACUGUUUUUUAAGUUUAUACUAUUCCAUAAUAAAUCAUAUUUUAAAAAUCACACAUAUAAUAGAUUUGACCAAAAUCCCAGAAAAAUAUUGGGUUCUCUUGAUCCAAUCUAAUCUCCUCCAUAUUUUGGAUAGCAUCUACAAUGUUAAAAUCAGAACUGGUUUUCAGAAUAUUGACCCUGCAAAGAAAGGAAUACCAUAAUAACAAGAGCAAGUAAGCUUUUAGCUUUUUUUUUUUUAAGCACCUACAGUAUUCCAGGCAGCAUCAUGCUAGGCAUGUUACAUAUAUUUUCUCUAAUUGACCCCCAAAAUUACUUUUUUGUGCACUUACAUGAUGAAUGAUGAAUCUGGGAUUCUUAUCUAGUUCUUUUCUUAUUUUCUUCACUUUAAAAACCAAUUAAAUUAAUAUUGAAAUUGUUGUUACCUAGAAUUUAUAGUUAGCCAAAUGUUUCUAAUUACUUUGUUACUCCUCCACUAUACAAUAAUAUUGCUAACUGCAGGUUUCCCAUCUAGAAGGUGAGCUUGCAGAAAUAUCACAAGACUUUUUCCUCUUUAAAAAUGUAGUCACAGCCAGGUGCGGUGGCUCACUCCUGUAAUAACACUUUGGGAGGGAGGGGGGCAAAUCAUUUGAGGUCAGGAGUUUGAGACCAGCCUGACCAACAUGGUGAAACCCCGUCUCUACUGAAAAAAGUAUAUAAAAAAUUAGCCGAGCAUGAUGGCAUGUGCCUGUAGCCCCAGCUACUCAGGAGGCUGAGGCAGGAGAAUCGCUUGAACCUGGGAGGUGCAGGUUGCAGUGAGCUGAGAUUGUGCCACUGCACUCCAGCCCGGGCAACAGAGUGAGGCUCCAUCCAUUUCAAAAAAAAAAAGAAAAAAAUUAGCCAAGUGUGGUGGCACGCGCCUGUAAUCCCAACUACUUGGGAGGCUGAGGCAGAAGAAUCACUUGAACCUGGGAGGUGGAGGUUGCAGUGAGCCGAGAUUGCGCCACUGAACUCCAGCCUGGGACAGAGGGAGACUAUCUCAAACACACACACAAACAAAAAAAAACAUAGUCACUACUCUGACUUCUUAUUUUCUCAAAAUUUAUGGCAAUUAAAUCCUCCUCACUGAUAAUAAAUAGUGUCUUAAUCAGAAAAAACUGUGCAUUUAUAUACACUUAUGUUGCAUUAAUAAAUACAGUGCAAUUUUAUGAUGGAAAAAUACAAAAUAUAGGAUAUGUUUUUGUUUUUUAUUUUCUAAAUUUCUAUUUAUCUCUACUGGACAUGACCUUUCCCUGUUGAAAAUGCUGCCAUUUCACACAUCAACUUAAUUUACUACCUUCAUUUUUUGCACAUAAUCUGUAAGUCACGAGUGGUGAGUACGGAUUCCCUGAACCUUGGCUGUGUGAAAGAGCUUUGUGUGCUAGAUCUCCUUCUCUUUGUAGCUCAUAUAUGGUUAUAUAAAAUAUAUAUUUAUAUAUGUUUCCUUUUGAAAGGGUUAUCUUACUUACGUUCCCUGACAUAUCUUUAGAAUUAUCGUUUAAUGAUUAAACUAAAUAUUUCCACAUUUCAUUAUUUUAUCUAACACACAAUUUGUUUUAAUUCCAUGCUAUAAUAUAUUUCAGUCUAUAUAACAAAUACAAUGAAUAUAGAAAGAAGGCAUUGGAUUUAUUUAGUGCUCUGCAACUCUUAACUUUGUUUUUAUAUGACAUUACAAAAAGGUUUAUUUGAUCAUUCAGUAAAGCAAACCACAUAACAAUUUGCUUUUUGAUGUGAAUCAAUUGCAUAUUGAUCUUAUUAUGGCUUUCAUCGGCAGCUAUGGCAGGAGUGAGCUGGAUAUUUAUUAAGAUCUUGGGUCCCAGAUUGCCAUUAGUUUAUCAAAGACCAUGAAUGGUUUCUUACGAUGAAUACCUGAAUAUGAUCAAUAUGCAUAAUAACUUUUUAUGUUCUUUACAAAAACAAAAGAAUAUUUUUAAAAACUUGGCAAGAAAUAUGAUAAAUGCCCAUAAUGAAAAUAAAAGAACAUAAAGCACAUGAUAUUACUGUGGAGAGCAGACUGCUGAGAAGAAGAAUAAGGCAUGAAGAAAAGGUGGUAGAGUUAAAAUAGUAACAUAAAUAGAGAUAGCCUAUGCUUAAUGAAACAAUUAAACAGCUCAUUUCUCAAUGUCAAGUGUGGACCCCUAAACAGAUGUGUAACUAGAAAUUUUUAUGCCAAGGGCAAGUACCAAGCAUUUUUGUUUCUGCGUCCCCUUCUGCCAUCAUUCUGCCUUCAGGCCAUCCUCCCACCUCCCUGUGACUUUCAUGCUUUUGCUCUAUUUAUAAAUCGUGGGCUUCCUGUGUCAGGUUACCUGGCCCUCUGAGUCGGCAGAGGAUUGCCAUCAUGGCAAAAAAUGCGAAGAAGUCAUUCUUGGCUGGCUGAUGCUGUCAGCAUUCCCCCCCACCGCCGCUUAGCUUCUCACCACCGAGUUACUUCUAAAGGAUUGCAUCACGCCAAAUAGCAUAAACUUUUAAAAAAAGUAAAAUCUCAUAAAAUGGUAAGUAGAUAAAUGUCAUAUUCUUUUCAUAAAUGCUGUUUAAUUCCAAAGCUACUAUAAAAUACUAUAACCUACGAAAUUCUAGAUUUGAGUCCUGGGAACUGCCACAAAGCUCCCUCAAGGGCCAGUGUGUGGAAUUCCAUGAUGUCGUAUCUCACAGCCAGUUUUAUUCAUGCCCAGUGCUUGGGAAGUGCAAAGGAACACAGCCCCAUGCACAGCGCAGCAAAUGUCCCAGCUUUUGCUAGUUUCAAACAUUUUAUGUAAAAUUAAUUUUCACUACUUUUAUAUAAAGCCAUUAUAGUUUUCAAAUUAAUAAAGUUAUAAUGCAGUACAACAUCAACUAUAUUUUCUAUAUUUUUUUUACAUAAACAACCACCGUAUAUUAAGGCUCCAGCCCUAUCAGAAAAUGUUUUGCAUCUAUUUUGAGAACAAAUGAAGAGUUUGUACACUUAGUGAAAAAAAUACUUGUUUGGAUGUAAAACUUUAUAGAUAGUAACAAUAAAAUUAAAUGUGUAUAUUAGUCAAAAUUCUGAUUUCUAAGCAAAGAAAACUAACCUUGGACAUCUCAGGCAGGUAGAGGCUUCAUUGGAAGGCUAAGGAAGGACAUGAACUUCGACAAAAAGGUCUGGCGAGUGGGUGAGGUGGAUUCAGGGGCUGAUGGCUGGCGUGCUCUGAGCAAAGUUCUUCUCCGACUAAUAUUCUUCUGCUGGUGCUGCAUGGAGCCACUACUGCCCAAUGUCACCCCAUGGAGCCAGGUCAAUUGUUGUCCCUUCCAUUAUAUGUCCCUCACUCUGCAUCCAUCGUAGGUAGGUUAACUGAGCCCAUCUUACAUGUGUUUGUCCAGCUGUCAAAGCAGGGGAGGAAGAGGGAGUCCCUUCCCUUGUAUUUUCAUCGUGGUAGGUGCGAAACUGAAAUGUGAGACUGGCAGGAAAAAGCCAAAUCACAAAUGUCCAUUAUGGCUACUGAAGACUUUUAUUUUUGAACCAAAAAUUCUUUAUGUUUUAUGAAACAGGCCAGGUGCAGUGGCUCCCGCCUGUAAUCCCAGCACUUUGGGAGGCCGAGGCGGACGGAUCACUGAGGUCAGGAGUUUGAGACCAGCCUGACCAACAUGAUGAAACUCCAUCUCUACUAAAAAUACAAAAUUAGCUGGGUGUGGUGGUGCACACCUGUAAUCCCAGCUACUUGGGAGGCUGAGAUAGGAGAAUCACUUGAACCGGGAGGUGGAGGUUGCAGUGAGCUGAGAUCAUCCCAUUGCACUCCAGCCUGGGCAACAAGAGUUAAACUCUGUCUCAAAAAAAAAAAUAAAAUAAAAUAAAUAAAUAAAUAAAUUUUAUGAAACA
This is a long non-coding RNA of Homo sapiens (human), 12914 nucleotides long. RefSeq lists it as uncharacterized. The transcript has 2 exons. NCBI's taxonomy places the organism in Eukaryota, Metazoa, Chordata, Mammalia, Primates, Hominidae. The record is from RefSeq and is a predicted model, not a curated record.